AGUGAACGCUGGCGGUAGGCCUAACACAUGCAAGUCGAACGGCAGCACAGUAAUAGCUUGCUCUUACGGGUGGCGAGUGGCGGACGGUUGAGGAAUACAUCGGAAUCUACUUUUUCGUGGGGGAUAACGUAGGGAAACUUACGCUAAUACCGCAUACGACCUACGGGUGAAAGCAGGGGAUCUUCGGACCUUGCGCGAUUGAAUGAGCCGAUGUCGGAUUAGCUAGUUGGCGGGGUAAAGGCCCACCAAGGCGACGAUCCGUAGCUGGUCUGAGAGGAUGAUCAGCCACACUGGAACUGAGACACGGUCCAGACUCCUACGGGAGGCAGCAGUGGGGAAUAUUGGACAAUGGGCGCAAGCCUGAUCCAGCCAUACCGCGUGGGUGAAGAAGGCCUUCGGGUUGUAAAGCCCUUUUGUUGGGAAAGAAAAGCAGCAGGUUAAUACCCCGCUGUUCUGACGGUACCAAAAGAAUAAGCACCGGCUAACUUCGUG
RNAcentral lists this ribosomal RNA (492 nucleotides) under uncultured bacterium. RNAcentral describes it as "partial 16S ribosomal RNA". It matches the Rfam family "Bacterial small subunit ribosomal RNA", at positions 29 to 507 of the family's 1533-position model. The record is from RNAcentral.